AGUCACUGACAUUAGAUACCCCUGUAGUCCCAGCCGUAAACAAUGUGCGUUAGGUGUGUCGGUAACCACGCGUUACUGAUGCGCCGAAGAGAAAUCGUGAAACGCACCACCUGGGAAGUACGGUCGCAAGGCUGAAACUUAAAGGAAUUGCGGGGGAGCACCACAACAGGUGGAGCCUGCGGUUUAAUUGGAUUCAACGCCGGACAUCUCACCGGAUAAGACAGCUGAAUGAUUGUCAAUCUGAAGGUUUUACAUGACUAGCUG
Molecule: ribosomal RNA, 264 nt
Filed under: uncultured archaeon
Lineage: Archaea
Description: partial 16S ribosomal RNA
Rfam family: Archaeal small subunit ribosomal RNA
Source: RNAcentral